Molecule: ribosomal RNA, 495 nt
Filed under: uncultured bacterium
Lineage: Bacteria
Description: partial 16S ribosomal RNA
Rfam family: Bacterial small subunit ribosomal RNA
Source: RNAcentral
GACGAACGCUGGCGGCGUGCCUAAUACAUGCAAGUAGAACGCUGAAGGAGGAGCUUGCUUCUCUGGAUGAGUUGCGAACGGGUGAGUAACGCGUAGGUAACCUGCCUGGUAGCGGGGGAUAACUAUUGGAAACGAUAGCUAAUACCGCAUAAUAGUAGAUGUUGCACGACAUUUGCUUAAAAGGUGCAAUUGCAUCACUACCAGAUGGACCUGCGUUGUAUUAGCUAGUUGGUGGGGUAACGGCUCACCAAGGCGACGAUACAUAGCCGACCUGAGAGGGUGAUCGGCCACACUGGGACUGAGACACGGCCCAGACUCCUACGGGAGGCAGCAGUAGGGAAUCUUCGGCAAUGGACGGAAGUCUGACCGAGCAACGCCGCGUGAGUGAAGAAGGGUUUCGGAUCGUAAAGCUCUGUUGUAAGAGAAGAACGAGUGUGAGAGUGGAAAGUUCACACUGUGACGGUAUCUUACCAGAAAGGGACGGCUAACUACGUG